AAAACUAGGGUUUCUAGAACAUUAGGUGCGGCAUGGGCUUAGGGCUAGGGUAAGUAAUCAGAUUUUUUUCAUGUGACCAAGGCCUAGGUGCGGCUGAUUAAGUGGGCUAGGGUUAGGGUUAGGUGCGGCAUAGGUCCAAGAGGCAAAGAUGGGUCAUCCAAAAGCCCAAAGCCGAGAAUAGAAACUCUCGAAAUUGGAAACCUCCAAGAAUAGAAACUUCCAACUUUAGAAACUUUGGUUUCCAAUUCCGAAUUCUUAAUUCAUCACUUUCAUUUCUUCAUUCUUAAGCUUCUUUGACCUUCAAACUCGUCCAUUCCUCGUGCUCCAUUUGCAUACACCACAUUCCAGCUCACUUUUUUCUCCAAAAGCUCCAAAUUGCAUCAUUUCGUGUAAUAUGUCCUUUAACCCUGAAAACACAUGAAAGUAGCUUAAAAGACUACUUUGACGAAGAAAACAUAACAACAAUGCAUAAGAACUAGCUAACUAAGGCGCAUAAAUAUGCUCCUAUCAUUAGGAGGUUCUUCUCCACACAUGACACACUUGCAAACAAAACGAUUUUCAGUUGUUCUCCCAAUAAAUUAUGAAACUCAACACACCAAGUUAAUUAGAUACGCUUAAAUUAACCUUCAAGUUCUCCUAAAGUUAAUGAAUUGGAUGGGAAAGCGCAUACAACAAUUCAAGCAUUCCUUAAAGGUUCCUUACGUGAUGAGCACAAUAAAGAUACAAUCAAGAAUCAUGAAGCACAAUGAGAACUAUAAGUGUUGACGAGGCAUUCGUUACUAUGAUGAGCAUGAAACUAGUGCCAAGAAUUCAUUCAACGCGAUCGUUUUCAAGCGACCUUCACUACUUGUGAUUAUAAGAUUGUAACUAUUAGGUGAAACUCCCUCAUAAUCUAGCAUCAUAUUCAUGCAUGAAAACUAAGCGUGCACUCUCAAUCAACACAUACACAAAUAAGUUAUCAAUCAAGUAGAUGAACGAAUUGAAUCCACAACUUAUGAAAUAACAACUGAAUGUAAUCAAAUCAUAUUGCAAGCAUGUACAUGGUUUCGAAUCACCCCCCAACUAAGGGGGUUUAGUUCCUCAUACUCACAACACAAAGUUUAUUGAAUUGAAACAUUGAAAACAUAAGAAAGAUCACACCUAAAAAUUCCAGCAAUCUAAAUUGCACAGCAGGAACGUCUAAGAACCUUCCUCCUCUUCCUUGGUUGCGGCCCAGGGGUUUGUGAUGGUUUUUGGGGGUUAUGGAUGGUGUGGAAUGGUGGAAAAGUGUGUAGGAUAGGUGUAUGGGACGGCUAGGGUGGUUUUGGGUCAGAAAAUAUGGUGAAUGAUGAAGGAUAGGUGCUGUUGAAGAUGGAGAAUGGUUUCUGGCGUGAAGGAUUAUUUUCUGGAUGAAUGGUCGAAAAUUGGGUGAAUGAGUGAUCCCCCCUAGUGCCUUGCUGCAAAUCCUUAUUUAUAGGGCUAGGAAAGGUUUAGAACUUAGUUGAAACCAAAAGGUUUUGUACCAGAAAUUAGGCAGAAAUUAGGCACCAUGUGUGAAUAGGUAAAGCCUUCUAGAAAUAAGGUUUUGUACUAGAAAUUAGGCAGAAAUUAGGCACCAUGUGUGAAUAGGUAAAGCCUUCUAGAAGGAAUGCUUAUAUGGCUGAUUUCUAGAAGAACAAGGUCUAAAAACAUGUGGCACUAAUGUAGCCUUCUAGAAAUCAGGUUUUUUAGGCCCCCUUGCAGCUCCCUAACUGAAUUCAAGCCUUUCAAAUUCGUCCAUCCAUGAGCCUCCAUGCUUGCACUAUCCAAUCUUGGCCCAAAAAUGCUCUAGAAUGCUCCAAAUUGCUUCUUUUUGCAUACUUUGACACUAAAACCUUGUUCAAGUAGGAAUCAUCAUCUUCAAGCCUUCAAAUUUGUCCAAACCUUGGCUCCAAAUAUGUGACAUGCAUUCCAAACUCCAUUUUGCUUCUUUUUGCACACUUUGACCUUAGAACCUGAAAACACACAAAAGUGACUUUAAACACUAAAAUAGCUAAGUAAACACAACCUAAAUGCACGAGAACAAGCCAAUUAAGUAGCAUAAAUAUGCUCCUAUCAUUCAUAGUAACGAAUGCUUCGUCAAUGCUUAUGUUUUUCAUAGAACGUAAUGAUUCUUGCUUGUUUCUCU
Molecule: long non-coding RNA, 2146 nt
Filed under: Malus domestica (apple)
Lineage: Eukaryota; Viridiplantae; Streptophyta; Magnoliopsida; Rosales; Rosaceae
Description: long non-coding RNA (MDOM_LNC019716)
Source: RNAcentral